Molecule: unclassified non-coding RNA, 391 nt
Filed under: soil metagenome
Description: partial contains 5.8S ribosomal RNA, internal transcribed spacer 2, and large subunit ribosomal RNA
Rfam family: 5.8S ribosomal RNA (bases 1-122)
Source: RNAcentral
GAUGAAGAACGUAGCUAAAUGCGAUACUUGGUGUGAAUUGCAGAAUCCCGUGAACCAUCGAGUCUUUGAACGCAAGUUGCGCCCGAAGCCAUUAGGCCGAGGGCACGCCUGCCUGGGCGUCACACGUCGUUGCCCCCCCAUCUACUCCUUCGGGAUUGCGGGGGGCGGAUGAUGGCCUCCCGUGCGCCUCGUCGCGCGGUUGGCCUAAAUGCCAAGUCCUCGGCGACGCACGCCACGACAAUCGGUGGUUGCGAAACCUCGGUUGCCUGUCGUGUGCGGUCGUCGCGCAUCGAGGGCUCGAAAAAAUUGCCGGGCUUCGGCUCGACUUUCAACGCGACCCCAGGUCAGGCGGGGUUACCCGCUGAAUUUAAGCAUAUCAAUAAGCGGAGGA